UUUAUGCCCAAAUUGUCGUCGUUGUUUCUUGCACAUAUUCAUUGUGUUGUCGUUGUGUGCCUAGAUUUGUCGUUUGGUGCCCAAAUCAUGCCCAAAUAUGUUGUGCUCGUGACCAGAUCUAUUGUGUUUGUGCUUGAUUUGUUGUUUUUGUGCCUAAAUUUGUGGUGGAUCCGCUCUACUCAGAUCGUUGCGUUCAUGCAAG
Molecule: long non-coding RNA, 202 nt
Filed under: Cucumis sativus (cucumber)
Lineage: Eukaryota; Viridiplantae; Streptophyta; Magnoliopsida; Cucurbitales; Cucurbitaceae
Description: long non-coding RNA (CSAT_LNC000429)
Source: RNAcentral